AGAGUUUGAUCCUGGCUCAGGAUGAACGCUAGCUACAGGCUUAACACAUGCAAGUCGAGGGGCAGCGGGAUUGAAGCUUGCUUCAAUUGCCGGCGACCGGCGCACGGGUGAGUAACGCGUAUCCAACCUUCCGUACACUCAGGGAUAGCCUUUCGAAAGAAAGAUUAAUACCUGAUGGUAUGAUGAAAUUGCAUGAUAGCAUCAUUAAAGAUUUAUCGGUGUACGAUGGGGAUGCGUUCCAUUAGGUAGUAGGCGGGGUAACGGCCACCUAGCCUACGAUGGAUAGGGGUUCUGAGAGGAAGGUCCCCCGACAUUGGAACUGAGACACGGUCCAACUCCCACGGGAGGCA
This 350-nucleotide ribosomal RNA is filed under the name uncultured bacterium. Its description in RNAcentral is "bacterial SSU rRNA". It matches the Rfam family "Bacterial small subunit ribosomal RNA", at positions 8 to 350 of the family's 1533-position model. The record is from RNAcentral.